UACGUAGGGUGCGAGCGUUGUCCGGAUUUAUUGGGCGUAAAGAGUUCGUAGGUGGUUCAUUAAGUCUGGUGUUAAAGACCGGGGCUCAACCUCGGGAUCGCACUGGAUACUGGUGGACUGGAGUGCAGUAGAGGCAAGCGGAAUUCCAGGUGUAGCGGUGAAAUGCGUAGAUAUCUGGAAGAACACCGGUGGCGAAGGCGGUCUGCUGGGCAGUUGCUGACACUGAGGCGCGACAGCGUGGGGAGCAAACAGG
This 253-nucleotide ribosomal RNA is filed under the name uncultured bacterium. RNAcentral describes it as "partial 16S ribosomal RNA". It matches the Rfam family "Bacterial small subunit ribosomal RNA", at positions 524 to 776 of the family's 1533-position model. The record is from RNAcentral.